CUGUCAUUCUAUAAGCUACUAAACCUUAUCCCUCUCUAAUGCGUGACAAACGCUCUCUCCAUCCCUCCCUCCCUCCAUUGUUUGUCCAUUCCAUCCUUCCCUCUGUCUCCUUGAACCGUUUCCAGCCAAUGUGUUCUGACUGGUGCUCAUUAGGGCUGGGAUGAUACCAGUAUUGGGAUACACGUUAGUAUCAUGGCAAGGAAACAAAACACAAAGCUGAUGUAACUUCUUUAGGAAAACAUCCCUAAUGUUGGAAACAAACAUCGUUAUAUUGUCAUCCAGAAUCACAUGUAUUUAUUUUCCAAGCUAUAGCAGACAACAAUUCACAUACAGCAGGUUUUUAAAGGCUCCAAGUCUCUGGUCUUUUUCAUGUUACAUUUUUUUGCCAUCCCAAAAAUAUACCCUCUCCCUCUCUCUCUCUGUCUCUCUCUCUGUCUCUCUGUCUCUCCCUCUCUCCCUCUCUCUCUCUGUCUCUCUCUCUCUCUGUCUCUCUGUCUCUCUCUCUGUCUCUCCCUCUCUCUGUCUCUCUGUCUCUCCCUCUCUCUGUCUCUCCCUCUCUCUCUGUCUCUCCCUCUCUCUGUCUCUCCCUCUCUCUGUCUCUCUGUCUCUCCCUCUCUCUGUCUCUCUGUCUCUCCCUCUCUCUGUCUCUCUCUGUCUCUCUCUCCCUCUCUCUUUCUAUGUCUCUCUCUCUCUCUCUCUCACUCUCUCCCUCUCUCUAUCUCUCUCUCUGUCUCUCCCUCUCUCUGUCUCUCUCUCUGUCUCUCUCUCCCUCUCUCUUUCUAUGUCUCUCUCUCUCUCUCUCACUCUCUCCCUCUGUCUCUCUGUCACUCUCUUUGUCUCUCUCUCCCUCUCUGUCUCUCCCUCUCUCUGUCUCUCUCUCUGUCUCUCUCUCCCGCUCUCUUUCUAUGUCUCUCUCUCUCUCUCUCUCUCCCUCUCUCUAUGUCUCUCUGUCUCUCUCUCUCUCUCUCCCUCUCUCUCUCUCUAUGUCUCUCUCCCUCUCUCUCUCUCUGGUAG
RNAcentral lists this long non-coding RNA (1014 nucleotides) under Oncorhynchus kisutch (coho salmon). Its description in RNAcentral is "lncRNA (ENSOKIG00005016288.1)". Lineage: Eukaryota; Metazoa; Chordata; Actinopteri; Salmoniformes; Salmonidae. The record is from RNAcentral.